CAUUCCCUUUCGUUCUCCAUUAACAACAGUGUUUCAUUAGGAUUCCACAAGGUGGCAACAUCAUCCCAGCACUGACAAUCUUUAUACAAUUCGAUAUCUGUGUUGAACCACGGCUAGUUCUGAACCUCUGGUAGAGGUCGACAGGGUUUUUUGGGGUAGGCUAAUACCCUUGGCACCCUCAUGGUCUAAAUGCUUAUUGAUACAGACAACAGAACACGUCCGUUCACCCAUAAUGGCAUGACCACGUCCUGUGGAGAGAAGCGAUACCCCCCGUCCAGAGCUGUCAAUAUCAAUCUCUCUGUGCUGAUUGUUCUGCAGUGUGCUGCUCUCUCUUAGUGCAGACGUGCUACUGAGUUUGCUGCCUUGUGGCGGACUUACACCAGAAACCACCCGCUGAGGCCAAAUCAGGUGUGUGGCUAUGACGGAAAUGAAGUCACCGCUGGUUACACAAUGAGGCUUGUAGGCCUACGUCUCCUUCGCCAUGUGGGGCUGUGGGGGGUCUCUGAGGACCUGUGGGAGUGUGUUUCCCACCACCCUCAAUUUACAGACAGCUGGAAAUUCUGAUAAGACAUGACAACCCGGGGGAUGGCAAACCCAAGUCAAAUAUUUGCUGUCAAUAUUUAGUCUUGUUCGUCUUUCCACCAGCAAACUCAUUUAAUAGAGUGUAUUUUAGUUUUAUAGUCAGAACCAUCAACCCACUGUGGUGCUCAAAUGAAAUGAACUGCUACUCUCAAUCUAUUUUGACAGUCUCUGAAAACUAAUAAGCUGGCUGAUAUUAAAUGUUAGCACAGUAUUCAAGAAAUGCGCAACAAGAGCGGUGUGAAGGUAGAAUGAUCAAUGCUUUGUGGGGGGGGGUGAGUACAUUGUAUUGAGUAGAUUGAAUUAUUUUUUCAACUUGCACUAUGAUACAUUGUACACUUGUUAUUGUAAUAAGAACAGUAACACAUUAUAAUGUAAUGCUAUAGGUUAUAAUUACUACGUUAUUGUAAUAAGAACAGUAACACAUUAUAAUGUAAUGCUAUAGGUUAUAAUUACUACGUUAUUGUAAUAAGAACAGUAGCACAUUAUAAUGUAAUGCUAUAGGUUAUAAUUACUGUGUUAUUGUAAUAAGAACAGUAGCACAUUAUAAU
This is a long non-coding RNA of Oncorhynchus tshawytscha (Chinook salmon), 1130 nucleotides long. The record is from Ensembl. Lineage: Eukaryota; Metazoa; Chordata; Actinopteri; Salmoniformes; Salmonidae.